GUCGAACGGCAGCGCGGGAGCAAUCCUGGCGGCGAGUGGCGAACGGGUGAGUAAUAUAUCGGAACGUGCCCAGUAGUGGGGGAUAGCCCGGCGAAAGCCGGAUUAAUACCGCAUACGACCUGAGGGUGAAAGCGGGGGAUCGCAAGACCUCGCGCUACUGGAGCGGCCGAUAUCAGAUUAGCUAGUUGGUGGGGUAAAGGCCUACCAAGGCAACGAUCUGUAGUUGGUCUGAGAGGACGACCAGCCACACUGGGACUGAGACACGGCCCAGACUCCUACGGGAGGCAGCAGUGGGGAAUUUUGGACAAUGGGCGCAAGCCUGAUCCAGCAAUGCCGCGUGCAGGAAGAAGGCCUUCGGGUUGUAAACUGCUUUUGUCAGGGAAGAAGUCUUCUGGGCUAAUACCCCGGGAGGAUGACGGUACCUGAAGAAUAAGCACCGGCUAACUACGUGCCAGCAGCCGCGGUAAUACGUAGGGUGCGAGCGUUAAUCGGAAUUACUGGGCGUAAAGCGUGCGCAGGCGGCUUUGCAAGACAGAGGUGAAAUCCCCGGGCUCAACCUGGGAACUGCCUUUGUGACUGCAAGGCUAGAGUACGGCAGAGGGGGAUGGAAUUCCGCGUGUAGCAGUGAAAUGCGUAGAUAUGCGGAGGAACACCGAUGGCGAAGGCAAUCCCCUGGGCCUGUACUGACGCUCAUGCACGAAAGCGUGGG
This 709-nucleotide ribosomal RNA is filed under the name uncultured Burkholderiales bacterium. RNAcentral's name for it is "bacterial SSU rRNA". It matches the Rfam family "Bacterial small subunit ribosomal RNA", at positions 61 to 765 of the family's 1533-position model. Lineage: Bacteria; Pseudomonadati; Pseudomonadota; Betaproteobacteria; Burkholderiales. The record is from RNAcentral.